This 1751-nucleotide long non-coding RNA is filed under the name Penaeus japonicus. RNAcentral describes it as "uncharacterized LOC122258209". The record is from RNAcentral. Lineage: Eukaryota; Metazoa; Arthropoda; Malacostraca; Decapoda; Penaeidae.
UGCACACACAAUCACACACAUACACACAUACAAUCACACACAUGUACACACACACACACACAUACACACACAUACACACACAUACAUACACACACCAUAUGUUGAAAAUUUACUACACUAUAUCCUGUUUCCUUCAUUUGCAUUCCAGUACAACAGCUGUGUAGCUGUAAACAAUACUCAUGGAGAUAUAUUCCCGGAAAAUGAUGAAUUAGUUGAUGCUGAUUUGUAUAAGGCUGGUGUGUUCUUAGGGUGCACAUUUGGUAUCGCCUGUAUGUAUAUUUGGGCUGUUGGAAUUUUAGCUGCAGGCCAAAGCUCAACCAUGACUGGAACUUAUGUGGGACAAUUUGCCAUGGAGGGUUUCCUAAAUUUGCGAUGGAAGCGUUGGCAACGAGUACUUUUGACUCGUACAAUUGCCAUUACACCAACUUUCUUCAUUGCUUUUUAUCAGGUUAGUAUUUUUUAAUCUCUCUCACUUAGGCCAAAAUUUUAAUUUAAGGGAAAUGGAGAAUCAUGACAGCAGCAUUUGAUAAAGAUGACCAGCUUUACACUAGAAAGUUUCUUGUAUGUAGUUGUGAUCCAUCUAAUAGGCUGCACCACUUAAUUAGUUAACCCAUUUUAUUUCAAGGAAACAACUUCCCAUGACCUUUGGAUGGAAAGAAUGCAAUUAAUCAUAAUUAAGAGGUGAUCCCAAGAGUUAAUUUCAGAUCAUGUGCUGCAUGUUAGGGAUCUGUUUUCUGUUGCUAGCCACUCGGAUUGUUGUCUACACUCAUUGCAUGCCUGCUCUCAGAGUGUUUUACCUAUAUUUAUUCCCUUGUUCACUUUAUAGGUUAUUUGUGCAAAUGUUAAUUACUGUUCAGCUGUUUAUAGUCUCAUUUUAGAGUUUAUACAGCAGAAUCCAUCAUGAAAUAGUUGUAACAGCUUUUUUUUCAACAAAAAAAAAAUUCUUAGCAUAUUGAUAUUAGUUUAUAUCUCCAUUUCUGAAUGAGUAAUGCAUGUUCUUAUAAAUGGAACAAAUUGUUCAAUAUUUUGAAGAAAGUCCUGUUUCCUGGGACUUUAAACACUUUCCUUCAAUAAACAAAUUACACUUUAAGAAAUUGUAGUGGGUACCCCCAAGCCCAUGGGGGUUGCAAUGUCUUUAACAAUUAGUAAAGGGGCAGAGAUGGUAAAACAAACCCUGCUUUUGCUUUUAAUAAUAGCCUGUAAUAUUCUUUAAUAGUCUGUAAGUAUGGGGAACAAGAUGCUGCUUUGUUAUUUGGUAUGAUUUCUUAAAGUGUUAUUUCUUUAUUGAAGGAAAUGAAAAGCUGUUUCAAAAUCCCAAAAUCUGCAAAAUAUUGAAGUUAUUUUUCUUUUAACCCAUUCGCGAUGGAACAUAUAUUCAUCUACCCCCGUUUCUGUUAGGAAGUUAACAAACACAUGACGCUUCAUUCCAAGGUGUUUUUCCACUGCAUAUGGUCGUGCUGAACCUCUCAGAGUGUUUUUCACCCACGUUAACCUUAUGGUUACUAUAAUUGUAUGUACAAUGUUAAGGCAUGUAAAAAUAUUGCCGCGUUCAGAGGAGUUAUUUCAGUCAAAAAUCAUGUUACAGCGAUGCUCUUCUAGUGUUAUUUAAUUGAACUUUGCCCAUAUUCUUCACUUCUAUAUGAUAAUACCAAUGGAAAGUGGAAGCAAUCUUUUAGUGGGGUAUUAGUAAAGAGGUUUUAUACUUAACAUUUUUUUUUACAUACAGGUAAUAAUCAGUUCAGUUCAGACAG